AGAAGUGUAGCUCAGUGGCAGAGCCACUGCUUGGAAUGCAGAUAGUCCCAGUUUCAAUCCCUAGCGCGAUGCCUCCC
Non-coding RNA from Podarcis lilfordi (Lilford's wall lizard), 77 nucleotides. The record is from the annotation of a GenBank genome assembly. NCBI's taxonomy places the organism in Eukaryota, Metazoa, Chordata, Lepidosauria, Squamata, Lacertidae.